GAUGAACGCUGGCGGCGUGCCUAAUACAUGCAAGUCGAGCGAACAGACGAGGAGCUUGCUCCUUUGACGUUAGCGGCGGACGGGUGAGUAACACGUGGAUAACCUACCUAUAAGACUGGGAUAACUUCGGGAAACCGGAGCUAAUACCGGAUAACAUGUUGAACCGCAUGGUUCAACAGUGAAAGACGGUCUUGCUGUCACUUAUAGAUGGAUCCGCGCCGCAUUAGCUAGUUGGUAAGGUAACGGCUUACCAAGGCAACGAUGCGUAGCCGACCUGAGAGGGUGAUCGGCCACACUGGAACUGAGACACGGUCCAGACUCCUACGGGAGGCAGCAGUAGGGAAUCUUCCGCAAUGGGCGAAAGCCUGACGGAGCAACGCCGCGUGAGUGAAGAAGGUCUUCGGAUCGUAAAACUCUGUUAUUAGGGAAGAACAAAUGUGUAAGUAACUAUGCACGUCUUGACGGUACCUAAUCAGAAAGCCGCGGCUAACUACGUG
RNAcentral lists this ribosomal RNA (497 nucleotides) under uncultured bacterium. Its description in RNAcentral is "partial 16S ribosomal RNA". It matches the Rfam family "Bacterial small subunit ribosomal RNA", at positions 28 to 507 of the family's 1533-position model. The record is from RNAcentral.